This 301-nucleotide ribosomal RNA is filed under the name uncultured bacterium. Its description in RNAcentral is "partial 16S ribosomal RNA". It matches the Rfam family "Bacterial small subunit ribosomal RNA", at positions 509 to 807 of the family's 1533-position model. The record is from RNAcentral.
CAGCAGCCGCGGGAAUACGAAGGGUGCAAGCGUUAAUCGGAAUUACUGGGCGUAAAGCGUGCGUAGGCGGUUUGUUAAGUCUGUUGUGAAAUCCCCGGGCUCAACCUGGGAAUGGCAAUGGAUACUGGCAAGCUAGAGUGUGUCAGAGGAUGGUGGAAUUCCCGGUGUAGCGGUGAAAUGCGUAGAGAUCGGGAGGAACAUCAGUGGCGAAGGCGGCCAUCUGGGACAACACUGACGCUGAGGCACGAAAGCGUGGGGAGCAAACAGGAUUAGAUACCCGUGUAGUCCCUGUCUCUUAUAC